This is a long non-coding RNA of Notechis scutatus (mainland tiger snake), 1646 nucleotides long. The record is from Ensembl. Lineage: Eukaryota; Metazoa; Chordata; Lepidosauria; Squamata; Elapidae.
GUGGCAGGGAGCCCAUUCUUUCCCAACAGAAAACAUAGUACAUAAGGUACUGAUCAGAUAAUUCUUGCAUUAUUUUAAAGAGUUAAUUUUUUAGAAACAUAAGUACAGCAUAUCAUUUGGAAACUUGUCCGAUUUGUUUGCAUUUGUCUCCAGGUGCAAUUGUUCUUACAAGUCCCAAACUGAAAAGGAAAAUGAAAGCAAAUGUAGACAACAUUUUAUUUCACUCCUGCGCAACUCCUUGCUUUGUGAGUUCACUGGACUUCAUAGGUAUAGGCUGUUUGUCAGCAGUAGUGGAAUCUAAUUUUCCCCCUUACUACCAAGAAACUGGAGUGUGACUAAUCAGGAAAAACAUACAUUGCUAUUUCAAGGUGGUGACUCGGUUUCUGAAAUGCUUUCCAAUGAGAUUCUAAGCAGAAGCAAUUGGUGUUAAUAUGGCAACUUUCCAAAACUUACUGUUUGCUUUCCUACUGUUGAAUGUUUUAAGUUAUAUUCAAGCAGGGGAUAAUUGUUUAUCAUGUUCAAAACCCAACAUUGCAGAACUUGGAAAAGGCAUUAUGAUUAAAUGCAAGAGUAAGACACCCAUUCAUUUGAUAGGAUUGAAAUUCUGCACCCUCAAGGGAGAUAACUGUUUUGCCAAAAUCAUCAUCAAAGAACAGAAUGGAAGCUGGACUGAAAAUGAAACAACUUUGAAAUUGUACAACAGUUGUACAGCUUUUCUAAGUAUUUAUCCAAUAAAGAUAUCACAUGAAGGAAACUAUAUAUUAAAUUAUAUAACUGAAAAUGGUAUGGGUAACCUGACUAUAUGUCUAGAGGUGUUUGCACCAUAUACAAGGCCUCAAAUAAUGAAACAGGAGGACAUACUUAUUUGUACAGCAUCUGGAGGUUACCCAGAGGAGAAGUUCUAUUGGGUUUCUAAAACUGGAACUAAUCUGAUCCAUAAGGCAACAUCUCAGUCGGUGAAAAAUGAGGAUGGGUCAUUCAGCCUAAGCAAUAUCCUUCAGCUGGAAUCUGCUCCCUCUGAAACUGAAUAUUGCUGCAUUUUCAACCAGACAAGAGUUCCUAACAGACAGCCAGUCUCUGAAUGUAUGACACUUGAAAAUGCUAAAACUUCCACGAUUAUAACAGAAGAGACCACACUGAAUAUGACCGGGGUAAUAGUCAUUGUGAUAAUUGUUAUUUCAUUGGUUUCCAUUUUAUUGGCUGUAAUGUGGUGGAGGAAAAAGAGGAAAAAUUGUCUUCUGCAAGAAAUAGCAGUCAUGCAAAGAAUUCACUUAUUAGAAUAGAGAGUUUUCCCUGCUUUCUUCCAAUUCAAGGAAAAAAAAUUGGAAGAACGUACUUGUAAACUCGAUUGCAGAAAAUACGACUUCAGCAACAGAGGGUCAACGCCUGGAACGCCCUACCCAACUCCAUUGUUACAGCCUCAACCCUUCACAGCUUCAACCUCAAACUGUCUACUGUAGACUUCACCCCAUUCCUAAGAGGUUCUUAAAGGGGACAUGCAUAAGUGCACCAGUGUGCCUACUGUCCCUGUCUUAAUGUCCCCAUUUAUCAGUAUCUACUUCCUUUGUUCAUGUUUAUGUUUAUACCUAAACUUGUUAUCUUGUACAUGUUUAACAAAUGAAAUAAAUAAAUGAAUAAAAUAUCCA